RNAcentral lists this ribosomal RNA (466 nucleotides) under uncultured bacterium. Its description in RNAcentral is "partial 16S ribosomal RNA". It matches the Rfam family "Bacterial small subunit ribosomal RNA", at positions 28 to 507 of the family's 1533-position model. The record is from RNAcentral.
GAUGAACGCUGGCGGCGUGCUUAACACAUGCAAGUCGAACGGAAAGGCUCCUGCUUGCAGGGGUACUCGAGUGGCGAACGGGUGAGUAACACGUGGGUGAUCUGCCCUGCACUUCGGGAUAAGCCUGGGAAACUGGGUCUAAUACCGGAUAGGACGAUGGUUUGGAUGCCAUUGUGGAAAGUUUUUCGGUGUGGGAUGAGCUCGCGGCCUAUCAGCUUGUUGGUGGGGUAAUGGCCUACCAAGGCGUCGACGGGUAGCCGGCCUGAGAGGGUGUACGGCCACAUUGGGACUGAGAUACGGCCCAGACUCCUACGGGAGGCAGCAGUGGGGAAUAUUGCACAAUGGGCGCAAGCCUGAUGCAGCGACGCCGCGGGGGGGAUGACGGCCUUCGGGUUGUAAACUCCUUUCGCUAGGGACGAAGCGUUUUGUGACGGUACCUGGAGAAGAAGCACCGGCUAACUACGUG